GAAUAUUGGACAAUGGGCGAAAGCCUGAUCCAGCAAUGCCGCGUGAGUGAUGAAGGCCUUAGGGUUGUAAAGCUCUUUUACCCGGGAUGAUAAUGACAGUACCGGGAGAAUAAGCCCCGGCUAACUCCGUGCCAGCAGCCGCGGUAAUACGGAGGGGGCUAGCGUUGUUCGGAAUUACUGGGCGUAAAGCGCACGUAGGCGGCUUUGUAAGUUAGAGGUGAAAGCCCGGAGCUCAACUCCGGAAUUGCCUUUAAGACUGCAUCGCUAGAACGUUGGAGAGGUAAGUGGAAUUCCGAGUGUAGAGGUGAAAUGCGUAGAUAUCUGGAGGAACACCGGUGGCGAAGGCGACAUCCUGGACCGGCAUUGACGCUGAGGCGCGAAAGCCAGGGGAGCAAACGGG
This 400-nucleotide ribosomal RNA is filed under the name uncultured bacterium. RNAcentral's name for it is "bacterial SSU rRNA". It matches the Rfam family "Bacterial small subunit ribosomal RNA", at positions 359 to 776 of the family's 1533-position model. The record is from RNAcentral.